GACGAACGCUGGCGGCGUGCUUAACACAUGCAAGUCGAACGGACAGACAGAGAGCUUGCUCUCUUGAAGUUAGUGGCGAACGGGUGAGUAACGCGUAAUCAACCUGCCCUUCAGAGGGGGAUAACAACGGGAAACCGUUGCUAAUACCGCGUACGAUUCAUGAACGGCAUCGUUUAUGAAUGAAAGGUGGCCUCUAUGUAUAAGCUAUCGCUGAAGGAGGGGAUUGCGUCUGAUUAGCUAGUUGGAGGGGUAACGGCCCACCAAGGCAAUGAUCAGUAGACGUGCUGAGAGGAUGAACGGCCACAUUGGGACUGAGACACGGCCCAAACUCCUACGGGAGGCAGCAGUGGGGAAUCUUCCGCAAUGGACGAAAGUCUGACGGAGCAACGCCGCGUGAGUGAUGAAGGUCUUCGGAUUGUAAAGCUCUGUUAAUCGGGACGAAAGAGUUCUGCGUGAAUAAUGCAGAAAAGUGACGGUACCGGAAUAGAAAGCCACGGCUAACUACGUGCCAGCCGCCGCAGUAA
RNAcentral lists this ribosomal RNA (524 nucleotides) under uncultured bacterium. RNAcentral's name for it is "partial 16S ribosomal RNA". It matches the Rfam family "Bacterial small subunit ribosomal RNA", at positions 28 to 523 of the family's 1533-position model. The record is from RNAcentral.